UUGACCUCGGAUCAGGUAGGAAUACCCGCUGAACUUAAGCAUAUCAAUAAGCGAAGGA
RNAcentral lists this ribosomal RNA (58 nucleotides) under Trichoderma ghanense. Its description in RNAcentral is "partial 28S ribosomal RNA". It matches the Rfam family "Eukaryotic large subunit ribosomal RNA", at positions 1 to 57 of the family's 3401-position model. Lineage: Eukaryota; Fungi; Ascomycota; Sordariomycetes; Hypocreales; Hypocreaceae. The record is from RNAcentral.